This 252-nucleotide ribosomal RNA is filed under the name uncultured bacterium. RNAcentral's name for it is "partial 16S ribosomal RNA". It matches the Rfam family "Bacterial small subunit ribosomal RNA", at positions 524 to 776 of the family's 1533-position model. The record is from RNAcentral.
UACGUAGGUCCCGAGCGUUGUCCGGAUUUAUUGGGCGUAGAGCGAGCGCAGGUGGUUUAUUAAGUCUGGUGUAAAAGGCAGUGGCUCAACCAUUGUAUGCAUUGGAAACUGGUAGACUUGAGUGCAGGAGAGGAGAGUGGAAUUCCAUGUGUAGCGGUGAAAUGCGUAGAUAUAUGGAGGAACACCGGUGGCGAAAGCGGCUCUCUGGCCUGUAACUGACACUGAGGCUCGAAAGCGUGGAGAGCAAACAGG